AGGGACACCAAAGGCCUCUGCCCUCCCUCUCUAUCUAUCCAAGAGAUGGAAGGGCAGAGCUUUUUUUUGGUUUUUUCAUCUUUUCAUCAAAGAGU
RNAcentral lists this ribosomal RNA (95 nucleotides) under Triticum turgidum subsp. georgicum. RNAcentral describes it as "Triticum turgidum subsp. paleocolchicum 4.5S ribosomal RNA". The record is from RNAcentral. Lineage: Eukaryota; Viridiplantae; Streptophyta; Magnoliopsida; Poales; Poaceae.